AGGGACAUUUCAAUACAAAGGGGAAGAAGAAAAGCUGGAAAGAAACCUCAAACAGAGAAAAUCCAAGACAGAAAGAAGAUUCUCAAACAAGCAAAGCUGCAAAGAAGACUCUGAGACCAGCUUUGUGAACUGUCGCUUACGCGGGGCUGGGCUUUGGUGACACAGCUGUCUUUGAGCCAUUUCUGCUCCUGUGUGUGUCUGUGCACUCGUGUGGUCUUGAGAUACAGCAACGCAGACAGCCUGAUGGACUUGAUAUGGCUGCAAUUUCCCAGGCCUCUGAGUUUUUGUUUUUAUUUUUUAACCUUUCUACUGCUUUUGCUUCUGUAAUUUGACAUUUUACUGCUAUGGCUUGGCAGGUAAGUAUUAUUUGGGGAAGAAUAAGAACAGGAUGGCCUAAACUUUUGAAAUUAUGCUGACAAAAUCUUUAUGGCCAAACAUUUAAGGAAUAAAUAAGAAACAUUUCCCAUUGAAAU
Molecule: long non-coding RNA, 473 nt
Organism: Acomys russatus (golden spiny mouse)
Lineage: Eukaryota; Metazoa; Chordata; Mammalia; Rodentia; Muridae
Exons: 3
Source: RefSeq, a predicted model, not a curated record